AAUUUACUGGGCGUAAAGCGCAUGCAGGUGGUUUGUUAAGUCAGAUGUGAAAGCCCGGGGCUCAACCUCGGAAUUGCAUUUUGAAACUGGCAAACUAGAGUACUGUAGAGGGGGUAGAAUUUCAGGUGUAGCGGUGAAAUGCGUAGAGAUCUGAAGGAAUACCGGUGGCGAAGGCGGCCCCCUGGACAGAUACUGACACUCAGAUGCGAAAGCGUGGGGAGCAAACAGGAUUAGAUACCCUGGUAG
Molecule: ribosomal RNA, 246 nt
Filed under: uncultured bacterium
Lineage: Bacteria
Description: partial 16S ribosomal RNA
Rfam family: Bacterial small subunit ribosomal RNA
Source: RNAcentral